Molecule: ribosomal RNA, 166 nt
Filed under: Camellia edithae
Lineage: Eukaryota; Viridiplantae; Streptophyta; Magnoliopsida; Ericales; Theaceae
Description: 5.8S ribosomal RNA
Rfam family: 5.8S ribosomal RNA
About the family: 5.8S ribosomal RNA (5.8S rRNA) is a component of the large subunit of the eukaryotic ribosome. It is transcribed by RNA polymerase I as part of the 45S precursor that also contains 18S and 28S rRNA. Functionally, it is thought that 5.8S rRNA may be involved in ribosome translocation.
Source: RNAcentral
UAAAAACGACUCUCGGCAACGGAUAUCUCGGCUCUCGCAUCGAUGAAGAACGUAGCGAAAUGCGAUACUUGGUGUGAAUUGUAGAAUCCCGCGAACCAUCGAGUCUUUGAACGCAAGUUGCGCCCGAAGCCAUUAGGUCGAGGGCACGUCUGCCUGGGCGUCUCAC